GUCUGACUCUUAGCGACCCCUAGCCCAUAAUAAGUUAUCAAUUAUUAUGUAGAUCAUAGAAGGGAGUUGAAUGUUAUGUAAAUACAGUGGAAAGCCAUUGAAAUGUUUUCAGUAGGGGAAAGGGUUGACUCAGUUUUUAUUUUUAUAUGAUCACAUUCUCCAUUGGAUGGAGAAUGAGUUGGAGGGAGGUGGAAACUAGACCACUCACUUAUGAAGCUAUUACAUUGGUCCAGGAGAGAGAGACCAUUGCUAUACAGUGGUGACAAAGGAGACAGAGAGACAUGAGCAGAUCUUAGAUCUAUUUUGAAGACAGAAUUGAAUGGACCUGUAGAAGGGUGAGGGGAUGGAGACAUCAAGAAGCUCUCAAAAAAGGCUGUGGUGUGCCAGACUGGGGAAGCCUGAAAGGGAAAGACUUAGAAACUGGGAGGGGAUUAGGGUUUGAUUUUGAACUCAGUAAGUUUGAGAUGUUAUGAAAUAUGGAAGCAGACGUUGUCAAGUAGGCAGUUCCAUCUACAAAUACAAAACUAGAUAUAUGUUAAAAUCUUUUAAUGCAUCUAGGCUUCAUUAAUCUUAUUUGUUGUCAAUCAUGAAUUUGUAUUCAACAAGUAGUUAUUAAGCAACAAAUUAUGCAUUGAAUGCUAACAUAUUUUAUUGGCAGUGGAACAUUUUAAUUGGAUUCUUUCCUCUAACUAGAAAAGUGCUAUAUCUUGCACAUGCACUGUUGGCUGUAUAAUAUUCUACCAUAUGGCUAUAAAUAAUUUAAUCAUUUUGUUUUUUUCUAAUUUUUUGACAUUUGAAAUAAUACUUCAAUGAAUUUUUUUUUGUUCAUAAAUCUACAUCUGAGCUUUUAAAGUAAUUUUUGAGGGGGUUUAGGAUAGGUUUGUAGAAACAAUUCUUUGUCAACAAACAUGAUCUUUUUUAGGAUUCUUUUUUUAGUAGUAAAAUAUUAUUGUCUAUAUUCAUUAUACUGUGUACUAGAUCUCUUUUUUAGGACUUUGGAAACAUACUGUCAACUCAGUUUCCAAAAAAGUUGUAUUCAUUUACACUCUUGGUCACAAUCUAUGGAUGUUCACCAUACCAUGGGGAUCAAAAUUAAAAACUUUUGCUAAUCUAAAGUGAAGUGAAGUGAAGUCACUCAGUUGUGUCCAACUCUUUGCGACGCCAUGGACUGUAGCCUACCAGGCUCCUCAGUCCGUGGGAUUUUCCAGGCA
RNAcentral lists this long non-coding RNA (1211 nucleotides) under Capra hircus (goat). RNAcentral's name for it is "lncRNA (ENSCHIG00010011600.1)". The record is from RNAcentral. Lineage: Eukaryota; Metazoa; Chordata; Mammalia; Artiodactyla; Bovidae.